Molecule: long non-coding RNA, 955 nt
Organism: Gymnogyps californianus (California condor)
Lineage: Eukaryota; Metazoa; Chordata; Aves; Accipitriformes; Cathartidae
Exons: 4
Source: RefSeq, a predicted model, not a curated record
UACUGCUUACAGCUGUCUGGCUGGUAAUAAGUAGACAAUUUGGUGCAAAAAACCAGAUUCUAUCAUUGCUGUCCCUGAACCAGAAACUUUCUUGGAAAUCUAGUGAUACUUGCUGCUGCCUGGGUUUGACCUGCUUGUGAGUGAGCACUUGUGAUCUUCUAAGGUGGUUCUGUGCUUUUGCAGUGCAUUAUAAGAAAUGAAACAUGAAAGACAGUCUUGGCUAAAUUUGAGCACUACUGCGAGGACCCUGAGCUGUGUACCGACAUCCCCUCCUUCUGGUGCAAGUGGGCAUCUUGGAAACUCUCUGCAACCACUUUUUCUGGGAGCUGGUUCUGUGGUAGGAUUCAUUCGCCUGGAGUCAUAAAGGGCUUAUGUGUAUUAUGUAUCUUAUUAUUGUGUAUUAAAAUUGUACAAUACAUGCAUUUUAUUCAUAAUACUAAUCUGGAGAGGUGGUGCUUUAUAUUCAGUAUCCUCUAUAAAUAUGUACUGCAUACAUAAGUGUUUGUGCAAGAACAUUAACAAAUUUGUACUUACCCGAUUGCUAACUGUUGCAUGACAGAUGUGUAGCACUUGGAAUAUUUAACCUGAAGUGUUUUACUGUCAUUUUCGUGCAUGAAUGUGUAAAUAUUUUUUCCAGAUAUAAGUGGACACUUCAUCGUGAUUGUAGUAUGAAUUGAUAUUAGUUUUUAAAUGUAGUAGAAAGGGGUUGAUUCAGCACAAUCAUGAAGUAUGUACAUACUGAAAUUGUAUGAAAGACUGUUAUCUGUGGUCUAUGAAUACCGUUGCUCUGUUUUGAAUGGCCCUGUUCCAAGUAUUCCAAACAUCUAUGGGUGUUUAAAUCAAAGCAUCAUAAUGAAAUGAAGACUGAUAUGCUUAAGUUGAAUUUUCGGAGUUAAAGUGGGGUGGAAAUGUGGAUUUCUGUUUAAUGAAAUAAAUUGGUUCCUGUUGAAUGACA